This 592-nucleotide ribosomal RNA is filed under the name uncultured bacterium. RNAcentral's name for it is "bacterial SSU rRNA". It matches the Rfam family "Bacterial small subunit ribosomal RNA", at positions 338 to 960 of the family's 1533-position model. The record is from RNAcentral.
CCUACGGGAGGCAGCAGUGGGGAAUAUUGGACAAUGGGCGAAAGCCUGAUCCAGCAAUGCCGCGUGAGUGAUGAAGGCCUUCGGGUCGUAAAGCUCUUUUACCAGGGAUGAUAAUGACAGUACCUGGAGAAUAAGCUCCGGCUAACUCCGUGCCAGCAGCCGCGGUAAUACGGAGGGAGCUAGCGUUGUUCGGAAUUACUGGGCGUAAAGAGUACGUAGGCGGUUAUUCAAGUCAGAGGUGAAAGCCCGGGGCUCAACCCCGGAACUGCCUUUGAAACUAGAUAACUAGAGUCUUGGAGAGGUUAGUGGAAUUCCGAGUGUAGAGGUGAAAUUCGUAGAUAUUCGGAAGAACACCAGUGGCGAAGGCGACUAACUGGACAAGUACUGACGCUGAGGUACGAAAGCGUGGGGAGCAAACAGGAUUAGAUACCCUGGUAGUCCACGCCGUAAACGAUGAUAACUAGUUGUUCGGUCACUUGGUGACUGAGUGACGCAGCUAACGCAUUAAGUUAUCCGCCUGGGGAGUACGGUCGCAAGAUUAAAACUCAAAUGAAUUGACGGCUGAGACGNGCGACGACGACGACGAGGAGAG